UUUAAAGAAAUAUUUACGAGAUAUUUUAUAUCGAAAUAUGUCAGAUUAAAACAUAAAAAUAUUUUGUAUUCCAUUUUUGUCUAUUUUACUUGGAUAACUUUUUUACGAUGAAUAUUUUGAAGGAUCGAUGUAAAUUAAAUCUUAGGAUUGUUCCAUUUAAAACAGUAAUAAUGACUUGCUUGAACUAUCAAAAAUGCUUUUAUCUAAAAACAUUACAUUUUCCAUAUCUUAUUCUCGAGAUAUUUUAGAACAUCAAUUAAAAUGGAAAACCUUGUAUUUAUAAUUUCAAUCACUCUACGCGAUAGGAGACGGGAAAGUGUGGGACAGAAUGAUAAAAGUGGAAGUAGGGAACGAAGUGGAUUCAGACCACUUCCCAAUUGUGAUAUUAAUUAAGGAUGGGAAAGAGGGAGUGGGUUUGAGGCGUGGAAUUGCAAGGAAGAAAUGGAAAUAAACAGAAGGGGGGAAAGAAAUUGUUUAGGGAAAAAAAUAGAGAAAGUGUGGGAAAAGAAAGAGGUGGAAGGGAGGGAAGGGUGUGUGUGCGUGCGUGCGUGCGUGCGUGCGUGCGUGUAGUGUGUGGAAGAUACUAAAGGAAGAAGUACAAGGGAUACUGCAGAAGGGGCAGGGGAGAGAGGAGGAAGAAGCAAGGAGGUGGUGGGAUGCGGAAUGUGGGGAGGGUAAGAGGAGAGUAAGAAGGGAGCUGAGAAACUGAAGGAAGAGUAGAGAAGUGGGAGACGGGUACAGGGAGGUAAAGAGGAAGUAUAAUAGCUUAUGUGAAAGGAAGAAAGAAAAGGAGAGGGAGAAAUGGAUAGGGAUGGCCAAAAAGCGAAGACGGAGGGGGGAGUGUAGACGGUGGUGAAUAAGGAAAGAAAAAUAAGAAGGAACAUUAACAGAGACAUUAAAAUAGAGGAAUGGAUAGAGUAUUUAAAGAAGGUGUUAGGGGAUAGAGGGGAAAGUAAUGAGGGGUAUAAGGGAAUAGAAGGGAGGAACAGAGACGGAAAUUAGUCGACAAGAAAUAGCAAAGGCGUUAAAAAAGUUGAAGGUCGGCAAGGCUGCAGGAGAAAAUGGGAUACCGGGGGAAAUCUGGAAAUAUGGAGGGGAGACGUUGGAAGGAUAUAUAUGGGAAAUGUGCAAUAGGAUCUGAAGGGGGGAGGAAUGGAUUGAGAAGUGGAGUGAAGGAACGAUAGUACCGAUAAGAAAGAAGGGGGAGGGGAACAUGGUGGGGGAUUAUAUUGGGUAACAAUAACACAGUUGCUGUAUAAGAUAUAUGCCACGAUACUAAGGGGGAGACUAGCGAGGGAGAUAGAGGAGAAGCAGAUAAUACUUCAAAAUCAGACGAGGUUUAGAAGGAGUAUGGGUACAGUGAAGAUAACAUCUUUGUGCUGAAUUACCUAGUUAACAGGCAAUUGAGUAGGGGAAAAGGAAAAAUGGUAGCGUUCUUUGUGGACCUAAAGGCGGCCUUUGACUCAGUGGACAGGGAAGUGUUGGAAGGGAUGAUGAGAGAGAGGGGCGUUAGAGAGAGAUUAGUAGUUAGAUGCAUGAAUUUGAUGAGGGAGACGAGGAACAGGGUAAAGGUGGAAGAAGAAUUAAGUGAGAUAUUCUGGACGAGCAGGGGAGUGAGGUAAAGCUGUCCACUGAGUCCAGGGUUAUUUAACGUCCUAACAGCGGAUUUGGAAGAGCACAUGAGAAAGGGAAGAUGGGGAGGAGUGAGGUUAAAGGGGGUAAAGGUGUAUUUGUUGGCAUACGUGGAUGAUAUAGCGCUGUUAGCGAGGAGAAUGAUAUGAUGGGAGGGAAAGGUUAUUGAGGAAGUGAAUAAAUUUAACUAUCUAGGGUUUGUGUUUCAAAGAAAUGGCAGACAGGACGAGCAGGUAAGGGAUAGGGCAAGGAGAGCAGUGGCGAUGAUAAGGCAAAUUUGGGGAUUUGAGAAGAGAAGGUUUGGAGGGGAUUGGGGGAAAAGAUUAUGGUUGUUCGACGCGCUAGUAUGGACAGUGAUGUCGUAUGGGGUAGAGAUCUGGGGAUGGAAGGAAAGAGACAGGGUGGAGAGGAUUCAAGAAAAGUACUUGAAGUGGGUGCUGGGGGUAGAUUGGAAGAUGCCGGAGUAUUUGGUGAGGGAGGAACUAAUGAGCAAAAAUUGAGGAUGCAAGCGGGAAGAAGGGUGUGGAGUUUUGAGGAGGGACUGACGGAGGGGAGAGGAACCAAAUUGGCGAGAUGUUGAAAGGAGAUAAGGGAGAGGGCACGAAAAGGGGGGAGGUUGUCGGACUGAGAGUUGGAGAGAAAAAGCUUUUUUGAGGAUAGGGGGGGUAGAGGUGGGGGCGAUGGAGAGGAAAAGGGAGAAGGAAAUUUUUGAUUUUUGCAAAGGUAAGAAGAGGGACAAAGUUGGGAAAAGGGAAGAGAGAUUAGAAAGAAUUAGAGGAUUGAGGGGUAACAGGUGGUAUCAGAGAGUAAAAGGAGAGGCAAUACCGGGAUAUCUAAAGAAGAGGUGGGAGGAGAAUAGAUGAAAGAGAGUAGCAAGGUUUAGGCUAGGAGAGGGAGUAAGGGAAAGAAAUUACUGGGAAAGAGAGGAGGAUAUGAAGUGCAGAAUGUGUGGAAUGGAGGAGGAGACAUGAGGGCACGUAUGGAAAGAGUAUGGAAGUUGAGAUACGGAGGGGAGUUGGGAGGAAACUGUGGAGAAGGACUAGGAGAGAAUGGAUACAGAGAAGAUUGGCUGAGGAAAUUGAAGGUUCAGAGAGGGUAGUAGCAUGGAGGGAGGGGAAUGAGGGGACGAAGAUGGAGGAGAGGAUGGCGGGAUAAAAGCGAGAGAGUAAGUACGAAGGAGAUUCAGGUGGGGGCAGGAGAAAGAAUGGUAACAAAAUUGAGAGGGAGAGUGAGAGUGUGAGAUAGAAAUAGAGAGAGAGAGAGAGGGGGGGGGGAGUGACUGUGAAGGAGAGAAAGAGAUGCCUACACCCGAAAGGGACGAUAAUGAUAUCGGAUAAGGUAUGAGAUCUAAGAAACAGUUGCGACGAAAAUAAAGAUCCCGGGCGCGUGUAUGUGUUUGUGUGUAUAUAGGAAAUAGCUGUAGGUUAGCAGUAAGAUAGUCGUAAGUAAAGUAAAUGUAAGGUAGAGUAAGACAGCGGAGGAUGUAUAAAAGAUUUGUAACCCAAAGUAGAUUAAAUAAAGAUUAUUCAUUUAUUCAUUCAUUCAUUUCAAUCAUUCUCUUUAAAUAUUAUAAUUUAUUAAUUAACAUUUAUCCGUUGGAGGUACAUUGUGAAUAAACAUUCAAGCACGAUUGGGUAAUUUUUUUUCUGUUUUGCGUUCUUUCCGUCUUAUUUUUUAAUGGUUUGUCUUUUGCUCACACUUAUUCAAUAGACGCGUCUGCGCAUAAUGAAAUUUUAUGCCCAUAUUUGGAAUUCGUGCAUUUCUCUUUUAUUGGGCUCGUGCCUCUCAUUGUGAAAAUACGAAAUUAGCAAUAUAGGAGUAUUACAUAUAUGGCCACCAUACAUUUUAUUGCUUCGCAGAUUUCAAAAGGUCGAAAAAGGCUUAAUUCGUAAGAUGACGCGAAAACGACGUAAUUAGUACUGAUAUGAACUAGCUGUAACACAUUUAUUGAAAUGCUAUUUUUGGGGCAAAUUAUUCAGUCAUGCUCUUAUCGCGCAUGAAUUGACUCAACUGACUGAGAAUGAUUGCGAAAUGUACACUUAGCCUUAUCAACUCUGAUCCCUCGAAAAAUUCCUCGGAAAAUUUUCCAAACUAAGAAGUUGCUAUUUUUUUACAUACUUAAGCAGCGUUUACAAUGGGUUCGUAGAGUCUCAAAAAAGGUCAUAAAUCCAAAUGAAGUUUUUGUUAAUACGCGAUAUACCAUGUUUUCUUGUAAUUGGUCAAUUGUAGUGACGGUAGUCUCUGGAAUUUGAAUUAAAUCAACUCCGAACCUCUACGACUACGACCAAAAGUACAGAAAUUUACGAUCGCUCUUGCGACUCUGCGAUCCUAUUGUAGACGUUGCUUUACAGUUUAUGAUCAACGUAACGACCAAUAAGUUCUAGUUGUUACAUUAAUCAUAAACUGCGAGUAUGUAGAAAAUGGUGAUUUCUCAGUUUGGAAAAUUCUUUGAGGGACAGAAUUGAUGACGCUGGGUGUACGAAAUUAUCUCAAAUUUAUUUAACAAAUCAAACGUUAUUUUAUAGGUAAGUGUACAAUAUACAUAAUAACAAUUACGGCAAAUUAUGUUACAAUACGCAAGUAAUGUUAACAUACAAAAUUAUGUUAUGUUUUAUUACGGGACAUGACAAGGACAGUGACUUGGCAGCGUUGGCAUGUAUGAAAAAAGAAACAGAAAUUACACUUACGCAGCACGGCGAAACCGGACAGGGCAACGUUAUUACAACAAAAACGCAGACUCUUAAAUACGCAAUAAUAGGGCACCAAAAAGGGAACUCAGCAACAAAACAAAUAUUGUCGACGCCGCCCGAGUGCAAAAUUAGCAAUGUUACAAUACGAUAAUGACGUUUGUCUCAUUACACGAUGAUAACUUUUCCUUUUUUUGAAAAUCUUGAUCUCGAUCUUGCGUUUUCUUGACUUAUUUAAGCAUAUCUUUCGGAUCGCCACUGGCUUAGGAACACGCUCACAGCACAAGUGGCGAUCAAUCAUUGAUUCCAUGAGAAACACGUAGCAAUACGUCCGACUUAUCAUAUAAUAAUUGUGCUGCUUCUAUAUUGGCCGCGGCCGUGAUUUAAUCUUUGCACAAGAUACACGAAUCGCACAGCUACUACGCGUUUGUUGAUUUCUUGGCACGAAACUCAAAUUGAUCAACAAGACACUCUUACGAAAAUAAGUAUUGAAGCUCAAUACUUAGUAUUAAAGAUUCUAAUACUGUGCAUGUUGUAAUACUCCUUGGUGAAAGUAUACGAAAGAUUUGAAUAGGAAAAUUUCUAUUUACCUGAAUCCAUUUUAGUCCGAAAUCUCUACCCGAACGAGUCAGUUUUAUACCGAGUGAAUCCAUGAAAAAGGAAUCGCAGCCAAGUGAAUCCAUCGUAAUCCGAAGUCAGCAAAAAGAUUCCAGUCCGACUAAAUCUAAUCUAAACCAGAUAUCUGAUGAGAAUAGGUAUUAUAUCAUUACAUAAUCGCAAUAAACAAAACAAUAUUUUUGUAACAUUUUAAAAAACAUUCUUUUCAAAGAAAAAAAAUUUCCGAGAAUUCCAGUAAAUAAGACUCUCGAACAGAAAAAAUGAAAGAUAAUGAAAUAUUUGUUGUAGAUUUCGUUUGUCGCAUUAUGGCACGUUUUUCUGUCGCCAGUUACCACCUUACUUUUUUUAUACAAAGGGUAUUUUUAAAUUAAUCUCCGAUAACAUUGUACAAAAUUCUUAUUUGCAAUACAGAACCCGUUUUUACACAGUUAAAUUGGUAACAGUUACCUAUUUUCCUAUUGUUUGGAAUUCUAUUGUUAUGGAAGUUAAGCAGCGAGCGUGUAAACAUGUCGACUAUGAUUGAGUCUCCCGCCAAGUGCGAAAUGCGUUCUGUUAUUCGUUUUUUUGUAAGCCGAAGGGAAUGCAGCUGAAAUUCUUUGAAGAAUGUGUUGUAUACGGUAACGAAUUUAUGAGUGACGGCAUGGUGCGUGAUUGGUGUAGGCAAUUUUGAAAAGUACAUACACCCACGGUAAUUGAUUCUGUCCGUGGGUGUACCAACAUUCACGAUAAGGUCGGCAGAAGAAGAAAAUCUGUGGCAACUGAAGUCAUUGUUCAGAAAAUGGAUCAGGUUGUGAACGACGUUGCUUCACCAUUUCUAAACUGACCGAUACUUUUAACGAAUAACAGAAUGCACUUCGCUCUUGGCGAGAGACUCGAUUGUAGUCGACAUGUUUAAACGCUCGCUUUGACUCUCACUAACAAUGAAGUUCCGACCAAUGUUGAGGAAACAGGUAACAGUGCUACCAACUUAACUGCGCAAAAACAGAUUUUGUAUUGCAACUAGAAAUUUUGUACAAUGUUAUCGGAGGUUAAUUAAAAAAUACUCUUCGUAUAUAUUUAAUACUUCGCAGCUUUUCUUCUUCUUGUUUACCAUUACUUCCAUGUGUUAUGAACACUCGCAAGGUUUACUGUUAAACAAUAUCUUUUUAUUCAGAACUGUUUGCAGAGAAAAAUGAUAGCAUCUCUCAGAUAAUCCAAGCUACUCUAAAGAACUGAAAGCUUCCUAUUGAAAUCGAUUGUCUCUUCAAACUCUCAAGUUUUCCUUUACUUUUAUAUUGUGAUUUACCUGUACUGUCACAUAAAAUGCACAUUACAAAAAUUAAUGGUAAUUGUGUACUAUAAAAGAAAUAGCUUUGAAUAGCUUGAUCUUUUGACGGGACUGACCCGUUUGCGCACAUAAACUAUUGGACACGGAUCUUAUUGCACAAUGACCCUAUUGCACAUGGACCCGAUUGGACACGGUCCCUAUUGCACACGGACCGGAUCGGACACAGUCCCGAUUGCACACGACCGAUUGCACACGGACUUGAUUGCACACGAUUGGAAACUGCACGAUUUGUCGGUAGGGAACCGAUUAAGACGGGGUGAGUGCGGGAGGAGUUAGGCCUACAGCACCCCACCGUGCGUGCGUGCGUGCGUGCGUGCGUGCGUGUGCAUUCUAGUGCGGUUUCCAAUCGUGUGCAAUCGGAUCCGUGCGCAAUCAGUUCGUGUAAUCAAAUUUGUGUGCAAUAGGGCCCAUGUCUGAUUGGGAAAUGAUCUCGUGUCCGAUAGUUUAUGUGCGCAAUCGGGCUUUACUCUUGUAUUGCGGACAUAAAGAAUAUAACUUAAUCCAACCUAAAUUUUUGUCGCAAUUGACCACGUUCUAAUUGACCAGGUUGUCACGUAGAAAGUUGGAAUAAUGUAAUAUAAUACCCACGUGGAAUAAUGUAAUAUAACUAUAAAUCUUGUUUCGUCUCAUAAGCAGGGAAAUGUGGAAUGUACCUCGUUUUGCGUUGCAAAGUACUGUGGAUAUGGAGGAUCUUUACCUUUCCUAUGGAAGGGCAAAAUCCGAAAAGUGAACCUUAUUUUGCUAAGAAAUACUCAUUUAAAUUGUCAACUACAUUUAUUAAUAAUGUUUAACAAAUAAUGAAGGACGGCUAAAACCUCCUGGAGGUCAGUAUCAUGAUCUUGAACAUACGAGGGUUGUCUGAAAAGUUUCCAACUUAACAACGAAACAAGACAUUUUUUUCUUCAAAUUUAUUUUUUAUUUUUUUUAUAUUUCUACAUAGUCUCCUUGUAAGUCUAUACUCACUUCUCCUAACGAUGCUCCCAUCUCUUCAACUCGUCCAAAUAGUACUUGGCGUCUUUCUUUGCAAAAUAGUUGUUUACGAAGGUGAUAGCUUCCUUAUUCAACAAAAAUCCCUGUUCUUUGAAUGCAAUUUUUAGCUUAGGGAACAAAAAAAGUCGCUUGGAGCUAAAUCUGGUGAGUAAGAAGGGUAGUCAAGCAAUUCAAACCGUAAUUCGUAGAUUUUCGCCAUGCCAACCGCUGAGGUGUGACCCAACUGCGCGGAGCAAACGCGGCACCCAACGCGCGGUCAUCUUUUUUAUGCGUAAAUCUUGAUUCAAUAUGUGACAAACACGUUUUUGGAUAUAUUUAUAACCUCUGUUAUCUCUCUAACCUUAAUUUGCAGUUGUCUAGCAUCAUUUAGUGAACUUGAGUGAUGUUAUCGUCAAGGGUUGCAAUUUUUGGCCGUCCCAAACGUUCAUCGUUACUCAAGCUGAUACAAUCACGUUUAAAUUCAGUUGCCCAAAAUUUCACGGUAGUAAAUGAUAGUGCAGAGUCCCCGUCUAUAGCAUCCAACUCGUCUUUAAUUUGCGUAGGCGUAUUGCCUUUCAAAAACAAAUAUAUAAUAACAGCUUGAUAUUUGAUUUCUUUCAUUUUUACAAAAACAUUCACAUUGAUUCACUCAAACGAUUGUCAAACAACAACUGCGUGUCCAAAAUGGUUAAAAUUUUGGUGAGUAUCUUUUAGUAGUACCUAAGCAUGCGCAAACACAUUCCCACUUUUGUUGACGAGUGCUACCAUCUUUAUGUUGAGAUCGGAAACUUUUUAGACAAACUUCAUAUAUGAAGGUUAAGGUGAUUGAAGCUAGUUCCCCUAUAGUGAAUAAUUAACAAAUUUAUGUUGCAACUGUUAUAAAGAGAUAUUCUACGUGUUAGUUAUCAAUAAACAUUUCUACAAAAAUUACACUUUAAUUAGCAUUAUACGUUAUUUUAAACAAAAUUCUUGAACAACGAAAAUAAAAGUACAAUUAAAAACUAAUAAGAUUACAACACAGAUAACAUUAACACAAAUUAAUUGAUCAUUAACAAAAUUUUAUUCAUAAAUCUAAUCAAACUCGCUUUGAAGUCAUCCUUAAUGUACUACAUAAUAAAAUUUGAAGUAAUUAUCUAGCCAUCGUCGGUCCAAAACGCGGAUGAGUCACUAUAAACAGGUUGCCAAGACCGAAGUGGCAUCUUCACCCAUCAAAUGUGGUGGUAAAGGAGAUGACAUAAUCUUCUCCAAGAGGCCGACGAAAACCACUGAAUAAGUGUUUCCACUUUGAGGAGAAAUUUCCCAUUUCAGGGAAUUUUUGAACUUUUGAAGGAAGAAGAUGAAAUAGGGAAAAAUGAGGAAAAAUUUAACAAAAUCGAAAAAAUAAUAAAAAACAUAUAUAGUUAUCCUUAUUAAUAAAUCCCUUUUUGACUGUACUAAGUUUAUUUAAUCAAAAAUGUGUAAUUUCUUUGAAUUUUAUUAAGUUUAAAAAUUAUGUAUGUUAUUGUAUUUACAGAUUAUAUAUAGGGAAAUGUGGGGUAAAGUGGGACACGUUUUUAUUUUUCCGUAAAAAAAUUUAAAAGAAAUCAUAUUUUUGUAAACCUGAGAUGUCCAUUCGAUAGAGAAUUUCAUUAGUUAACUUUCUACGGAAUUUCAAAAUUAUACUUUUUAUUAUAUUUUUGUUCAGAUUUUCUAAAAAGUGAGUUUUUAGUCAUUUUAAAAUAUUGUGGGGUGAAGUGGGACACGAUGAUAUUUGUCAAAUUUGAUUAAAAAUCAAGUAAGAAUCGUCUGAAAUAGAAUUUGUAAUGUUUAUUUGAGGAGGGAUUCCGGUUUUUCGGGUAAAAAGAAUCGAUUUUUUUUUACGGAAUAUUUUAGUUUAACAUCUCAAAAAUAUCUCCAAAAAAUUUUAUUUCAAAAUUCGUAAAACUUCCGGAGUUAUGAGUCGAUCUUUACUGACCCGAACGCAGAUCUUGAUAAAUUCGUCCAUGAACCGCCACUACAUGAAGAUGUUCAGCAAGCCUUAAAGCCAAUUUUUGAAGAUUCACCAUCAAAAAAAUUGUUAGAAAGAUGUUUGAAUGGUGAAACUCAAAAUAAUAAUGAGAGUUUUUACUCUACCUGCGAUUCGCAACUAAACACCCUCAUUGUGAAUCAGAAAUAAUUGAAAUCGCGGCUUAUUUAGCAACUGAAAUUUUUAAUGAAGGUUUUUGUGCUGUCCUUAAAACUAUGACAACGAUAGGAAGAGUUAUAGGAGAAAAGACCAAAAUAUAUUCCGAAGAGUGAGAUCAAUACCGGCUUGAAAGAUCAGCGCGACGAAGCGUCGAGGUUCCAAAAGAAGCUCGGACAAAGUGUAGAAGCAAACAAAUGGCUCAAAACCAAUUCUACGAAGAAAAGGAAGGACUAUUAUAUGGCCCUGGAAUAGCUAAGUAACAGAAAGUCAUAUUACCUGGAAGAUCAAUAUCGUGCACACCAGUACAUGAAGAAUUUUGCGCAGCGUUAUAUUUAAUCAUAUGUAGUUUUUAUAUUUAUAAUUAAAAAUUAACAAAAAAAAACUGUACGUUCUUAAAAGAUGGAUUAAAACAUGUUGCAAAUUUCAAAUUAAUUGAAUAGUUAGUUUGGGAAAAAAAAGUUCUUAAACUUUGCUAUGUUUUUGGCCAAAAAACCGGAAUCCCCUCCUUAAUGAUUCGAGAAUGAAAAUAUAUCAAUAAUAGGUAAUUACGAACCAAGGUAUCAAGCACCAAAGUUGACGACUAUUGAAGUUAGGAUACCUAU
This is a long non-coding RNA of Solenopsis invicta (red fire ant), 9999 nucleotides long. RefSeq lists it as uncharacterized. The record is from RefSeq and is a predicted model, not a curated record. NCBI's taxonomy places the organism in Eukaryota, Metazoa, Arthropoda, Insecta, Hymenoptera, Formicidae. The transcript is spliced from 2 exons.